CGCGGGGUAGAGCAGCCCGGUAGCUCGCGAGGCUCAUAACCUCGAGGUCGCAGGUUCAAAUCCUGCCCCCGCAACCA
Molecule: transfer RNA, 77 nt
Filed under: Candidatus Peregrinibacteria bacterium CG10_big_fil_rev_8_21_14_0_10_55_24
Lineage: Bacteria; Candidatus Peregrinibacteriota
Description: tRNA-Met
Rfam family: tRNA
About the family: Transfer RNA (tRNA) molecules are approximately 80 nucleotides in length. Their secondary structure includes four short double-helical elements and three loops (D, anti-codon, and T loops).
Source: RNAcentral